AUUGCUAGUUACCAUCAUUAAGUUGGGGACUCUAGCGAGACUGCCAGUGAUAAACUGGAGGAAGGUGGGGAUGACGUCAAAUCAUCAUGCCCCUUAUGACCUGGGCUACAAACGUGAUACAAUGGCUGGAACAAAGGGAGUGCGAAGCAGUGAUGUGGAGCGAAACCCAAUAAAAACAGUCUCAGUUCGGAUUGAAGUCUGCAACUCGACUUCAUGAAGUCGGAAUCGCUAGUAAUCGCGGAUCAGAACGCCGCGGUGAAUACGUUCUCGGGGUUU
This 276-nucleotide ribosomal RNA is filed under the name uncultured Acholeplasma sp. RNAcentral's name for it is "partial 16S ribosomal RNA". It matches the Rfam family "Bacterial small subunit ribosomal RNA", at positions 1107 to 1382 of the family's 1533-position model. The record is from RNAcentral. Lineage: Bacteria; Bacillati; Mycoplasmatota; Mollicutes; Acholeplasmatales; Acholeplasmataceae.